This is a non-coding RNA of Brachypodium distachyon (stiff brome), 136 nucleotides long. Lineage: Eukaryota; Viridiplantae; Streptophyta; Magnoliopsida; Poales; Poaceae. The record is from Rfam.
CUGUUACUUCCUCCAUCCAAUAAAGGAUGUCUCAAUUUUGACUAAAUUUGAAUGCAUCUAUACACUAAGUCAUGUCUAGAUACAUCCAAAUUUUGACAAACUUAAGACAUCUUUUGUUGGACGGUGGGAGUAUUAC